GUGAGCAAUUGAUCGCUAUACCUAGUGUGUAGAGGAAAGUCCGUGCUUGCACAGACUGCGAUGUCUGUAAUGUUUUUGUAGGUGUGAAACUAUAAACCCUAGAGUCAUUAGCUUGACUACGGCUGCGGAGUAAUCUAAGUACUUUACUGUAUAUGAUUACGAAGCAUCAAAGUGCCACAGUGACGAACAAAAGAGAAAUCUUGAAGUGAAACGCGGUAAACCCCAAAAGCAAGAAACCUAAAUAUUGGUAAGGGAACGAAUCACUAAGAAUCAAAUUAAGUGAUUUGAAUAAUUGUGUAUAACAAUUGUUAGACAAAUGAUCAAUACUGCUACUAGUGUGUUAAAUACUAAAUAGCGGCACAGAAUACGGCUUACGCU
This 378-nucleotide RNase P RNA is filed under the name Mycoplasmataceae bacterium. RNAcentral's name for it is "RNase P RNA component class B". It matches the Rfam family "Bacterial RNase P class B". Rfam says of the family: Ribonuclease P (RNase P) is a ubiquitous endoribonuclease, found in archaea, bacteria and eukarya as well as chloroplasts and mitochondria. Its best characterised activity is the generation of mature 5'-ends of tRNAs by cleaving the 5'-leader elements of precursor-tRNAs. The record is from RNAcentral. Lineage: Bacteria; Bacillati; Mycoplasmatota; Mollicutes; Mycoplasmatales; Mycoplasmataceae.